UAAUGAUGGUAAAAGAAGUUGGAAAUAUAUUUCUUGUACACUUUUAAAAUGCAAAUAUUUGAAGACUAGGUUGUACUAGUUCAGAGUAUAACAUGAUCUGCUAUAGCGAAUUUGUAUGAUGGAGUGAUCUGAGUUAUAGCCGAGCCUGAGCCGUUGAUUUAGAGACUAGAACUGGAGCUGAUGAUUUAGAGGUCACUUGGAGUCUAAAUAGCUGAAGAUUUAUCUAGAAAAAAAAAAAAAAAAACUCAAAAGAAUUAGUUGAUAUUUUAAGGGCCCGAAGGAAAGCGUGCGGCGGAUAGAAUAGGAAAAGAAGUUAAUUUCUUUUGAGGCUGUAUUCUGUAAUGCUAAGUUGGAUAAAUUUUUAUGUUGAAGAGAAUAUAAACAAUGUUUAUAAUCUGCUGAUUAAUGAAAAAGUAAAGUUUGAAGUUUUAAUAUUGAAUAAUGUGCAGCAGAAUCUUUCAAAGUCAGGAGGGGGAGGUUUGCUGCGAGAGCCUGAGAAUGAUUCUGAUAUUCCUAUUGAAUGUCGAGAUGUCUACAAAUCUUUCGGGGAUAAACAUAUCUUGAGCUUGUUACACAAACCUUGGCAGCUGUUGGUUUGAACUUUGAAGAUAUGCUAGAAGAAAGGAAAAGCUCGUCUUAUAUUCAACUACCUAGCUUGAAAGCAUCAACAAAGAGACCCAAACAAACACCAGCUUUCCAGAAAUUCAUAAACACAACAAAAGACUGCAACUUCUUCCCAGAAGAAGAAGAAGACGGCUUCUUCUUGUACGUAAGCAUACCGAUUCCUUCGAUCGCGGCCACGACGAUGCCUGCGACAAGCACGUCCUAGUCACCGGUUUGGCCGAGAAUGGUGGCUAAUGCAUUAGCAGUCUAGAAACCAAGAAGCAGUAAGAAUAUCUUCAUGGGGAAGUUCUUUCUAGCAGAGUUUAUCUUCAAAAGAAGCUGUCUGCCUAAGGCAAUCGCUAUUCUGCCUAAUCUAGUGCUACCUAGACCUGUUCUGUCUUCAUUAAUCUCUUGUCGUUCUCCUCCUCCUCCAGGAACAGAAGAAGAAGAUCCUGUGUCUAACGCAAACGCUAUUCUCUGGUUUCGUCUUCUUCGAAUCUGGAAACUAGAAUUGAAGACAAAAUUAUCAAAUACCA
This is a long non-coding RNA of Brassica napus (rape), 1139 nucleotides long. RefSeq lists it as uncharacterized. The transcript is spliced from 2 exons. Lineage: Eukaryota; Viridiplantae; Streptophyta; Magnoliopsida; Brassicales; Brassicaceae. The record is from RefSeq and is a predicted model, not a curated record.